This 497-nucleotide ribosomal RNA is filed under the name uncultured bacterium. RNAcentral's name for it is "partial 16S ribosomal RNA". It matches the Rfam family "Bacterial small subunit ribosomal RNA", at positions 28 to 507 of the family's 1533-position model. The record is from RNAcentral.
GAUGAACGCUGGCGGCGUGCUUAAUACAUGCAAGUCGAGCGAACGGACGAGAAGCUUGCUUCUUUGAUGUUAGCGGCGGACGGGUGAGUAACACGUGGAUAACCUACCUAUCAGACUGGGAUAACUUCGGGAAACCGGAGCUAAUACCGGAUAAUAUCUUGAACCGCAUGGUUCAAAAGUGAAAGACGGUCUUGCUGUCACUUAUAGAUGCAUCCGCGCUGCAUUAGCUAGUUGGUAAGGUAACGGCUUACCAAGGCAACGAGGCGUAGCCGACCGGAGAGGGUGAUCGGCCACACUGGAACUGGACCACGGACCAGGCUCCUACGGGAGGCAGCAGUAGGGAACCGUCCGCAGUGGGCGAAAGCCUGACGGAGCAACGCCGCGUGAGUGAUGAAGGUCUUCGGUUCGUAAUACUCUGUUAUUAGGGAAGAACAUAUGUGUAAGUAACUGUGCACAGCUUGACGGUACCGGAUCAGAAAGCCACGGCUAACUACGUG